This 492-nucleotide ribosomal RNA is filed under the name uncultured bacterium. RNAcentral's name for it is "partial 16S ribosomal RNA". It matches the Rfam family "Bacterial small subunit ribosomal RNA", at positions 29 to 507 of the family's 1533-position model. The record is from RNAcentral.
AGUGAACGCUGGCGGUAGGCCUAACACAUGCAAGUCGAACGGCAGCACAGUAAGAGCUUGCUCUUACGGGUGGCGAGUGGCGGACGGGUGAGGAAUACAUCGGAAUCUACUUUUUCGUGGGGGAUAACGUAGGGAAACUUACGCUAAUACCGCAUACGACCUACGGGGGAAAGCAGGGGAUCUUCGGACCUUGCGCGAUUGAAUGAGCCGAUGUCGGAUUAGCUAGUUGGCGGGGUAAAGGCCCACCAAGGCGACGAUCCGUAGCUGGUGUGAGAGGAUGAUCAGCCACCCUGGAACUGGGACACGGUCCAGACUCCUACGGGAGGCAGCAGUGUGGAAUAUUGGACAAUGGGCGCAAGCCUGAUCCAGCCAUACCGCGUGGGUGAAGAAGGCCUUCGGGUUGUAAAGCCCUUUUGUUGGGAAAGAAAAGCAGCAGGUUAAUACCCCGCUGUUCUGACGGUACCCAAAGAAUAAGCACCGGCUAACUUCGUG